CGUAGGGGGCGAGCGUUGUCCGGAAUUAUUGGGCGUAAAGAGCGUGUAGGCGGUUCGGUAAGUCUGCCGUGAAAACCUGGGGCUCAACCCCAGGCGUGCGGUGGAUACUGCCGGGCUAGAGGGUGGUAGAGGCGAGUGGAAUUCCCGGUGUAGCGGUGAAAUGCGCAGAUAUCGGGAGGAACACCAGUAGCGAAGGCGGCUCGCUGGGCCAUACCUGACGCUGAGACGCGAAAGCGUGGGGAGCAAACAGGAUUAGAUACCCUGGUAGUCCACGCCGUAAACGAUGAACACUAGGUGUGGGCGGAGUCGAAUCUGUCCGUGCCGCAGCCAACGCGUUAAGUGUUCCGCCUGGGGAGUACGGCCGCAAGGCUA
RNAcentral lists this ribosomal RNA (372 nucleotides) under uncultured organism. Its description in RNAcentral is "bacterial SSU rRNA". It matches the Rfam family "Bacterial small subunit ribosomal RNA", at positions 526 to 896 of the family's 1533-position model. The record is from RNAcentral.